GGGCCUAUAGUGUUAAUUGGCUAAAACAGUAGAUUUGCAUUCUACAGUUCUGGGUUCAAGCCCCAGUUGGUCCA
Molecule: transfer RNA, 74 nt
Filed under: Crassvirales sp.
Lineage: Duplodnaviria; Heunggongvirae; Uroviricota; Caudoviricetes; Crassvirales
Description: tRNA-Ala
Rfam family: tRNA
About the family: Transfer RNA (tRNA) molecules are approximately 80 nucleotides in length. Their secondary structure includes four short double-helical elements and three loops (D, anti-codon, and T loops).
Source: RNAcentral